AUCCGAGAAGUCGGCUCCCGCAAGGGCAGUUGUCGAGGUGCUGCAUGGCUGUCGUCAGCUCGUGUCGUGAGAUGUUGGGUUAAGUCCCGCAACGAGCGCAACCCUUGUCCGCUGUUGCCAUCAGGUUACGCUGGGCACUCUGCGGAGACUGCCGGUGAUAAACCGGAGGAAGGUGGGGAUGACGUCAAGUCAGCAUGGCCUUUAUGUCUGGGGCUACACACGUGCUACAAUGGCCGAUACAAACCGUCGCGAUACCGCAAGGUGGAGCUAAUCGGAGAAAAUCGGUCUCAGUUCGGAUUGCAGGCUGCAACUCGCCUGCAUGAAGUUGGAAUCGCUAGUAAUCGCGGAUCAGCACGCCGCGGUGAAUACGUUCCCGGGCCUUGUACACACCGCCCGUCACAUCACGAAAGCUGGCUGUACUAGAAGUCGCCGCGCUAACCCGCAAGGGAGGCAAGCGCCUAAGGUAUGGUUAGUGAUUGGGGUGAAGUCGUAACAAGGUAACCGU
This 505-nucleotide ribosomal RNA is filed under the name uncultured Acidobacteriota bacterium. RNAcentral's name for it is "bacterial SSU rRNA". It matches the Rfam family "Bacterial small subunit ribosomal RNA", at positions 996 to 1503 of the family's 1533-position model. Lineage: Bacteria; Pseudomonadati; Acidobacteriota. The record is from RNAcentral.